Molecule: RNA transcript, 4454 nt
Organism: Cornus florida
Lineage: Eukaryota; Viridiplantae; Streptophyta; Magnoliopsida; Cornales; Cornaceae
Exons: 4
Source: RefSeq, a predicted model, not a curated record
UAUCCUUUUGCAUGAAUCGAUCUCUUAUAUACGUUUCUUUCUUUCGUUCAUCUCAUCAUUUGAUUUGUUCUAACUUUGGUUCGUUUGAUUCGGGCCUUUACCUUUGUUCCAAUUGUGAAAAGUAGCUUCCAAACUAGGGGUUUUUUUGUGUGUGUGUGUGUCACUGUGUCUGAUGGCUAUCAAAAGCUGAAUGAACAUAUUAAGGUUCUCUUAGUAUUUUAAUAAAUGUGUGCCUUUCUACAUGUGUCUUUCAUGGCGAUCGAGUCCAUAAUCUAUGGCAGAUACCUUUUUUUUUUUUUUUUUUUUUUUUUUUUUUUUUUUUUUUUUCUCUCUCCCUAAUUCCACUCCAAUCUCACAACAGCAGCAACCAUACCCAUUUUCCUCAUAAUUUUUUGCAUUUUCACAUUCAAUCCUACGAAAAUGAAGGAUCCCUUCUAGUGGGUUGAGCCUUUGAGGUAAUAAUCUCUAAAUUAUGCUCAUACUUGAAAGUGCCAAAUUAAGGGUUUUUUUAUUUUUAUUUUUAUUUUUAUAAGAAGAUACAUACCACCAUUAUUGAUGUUAUUUGAAGUUGGCUCAGCUAGAAUUUCAGUUAAUAAUACCGUCAAAGCACUUGCCAUCAGAAUGUACAAACACAUGGAAAUCAAGAGCACGCUUUAACAAAACAAAAGUUAAUGGUUUUUAUAUUAAUUUGCACAGGUCUUCUGUACCAAUGAUCAACCAAUCACUGCUACUAAAGUUGAUUCCUCAUCCUGAAAUCAAGAAAGGGGUAAUUGGCUCCCAAAAAAACACAAACACAAAGUGUAGUGUAGUUAAUAUAAAGAGUGAAAGACAAAACUAUAUAGGAUAGUGGAUGCCACAUAUAACCUAAAAGUCCCACUACUUCUUCGGUAGUACAAGUUCAUCCUCCUGUAAUAUAUAUAGUCACCUCAUCUCCACAUAUUUUUGUCAUAUGUAAUUAUCAAAUUUUAGUAGCUAUAUAAACAAUGAAUGUAAAAGAAGCUGCAGUUUUCUGUUCUCUAGUAAACUGAUCUCUUCAUUUUUUAUUUUGUGCCUGUGAAAAUUUCGCACUCUUUAAUUGAUAGAUUUAUUGUUAUUAGUUAGCUGUCUUAUGCACGCUGCACAUGCGCACAAUUAUUUAUUGGUGAUGAUAGAUUUAUAGUUAUUAGUUAGUUGUCUUAUGCAAACUGCACAAGCGCAUAAUUAUUUAUUGGUGGUAAUAAAAAAUUAUAGUUAUUAGUUAGUUGUCUUAAGUACACUGCACAUGCGCACAAUUAUUUAUUGGUGGUAAUAGAUUUAUAGUUAUUAGUUAGUUGUCUUAUGCACACUGUACAGGCGCACAAUUAUUUGUUGGUGGUGAUAAUUUAUAGUUAUUAGUUAGUUGUCUUAUGCACAGACGCACAAUUAUAUUAGCUAUAGAAUUUGAAAACAUGGUGUGAAAAUUUUGCACUCUUAUAAUUUUUUUUUGCGCGUGUGAAACUUAAAGGCCUCACAUCUGAAAGUUCGCUUAGGGCCUCUCAAAAUAUUUGGAAUCUCAGCCGGCCCUGUAUAUACAUAUAUUGUGGUAAUGCUAGUUAUGUAUCCCACAUCGGAAAGUUGUAAAGAGUGGGCUAGGAGAGUUGUAAUAUAAAAGCAGAGAUUGGGCCUUGGAAUAAGUAUCUUUGCGCUUGGGGCAAUGACGCAGCUAGUGAGGUACUAACCGAGGCGCGUCAAUUGCUGGUUGAAAACUAUUUCCAAACCCCCUCUUUGGCCUGGGCUUGGCCCAGGCCAUUGAGAAUUUCUGGAAGGGCUCCCUUUAUUGGGUAGCCCCACAAUUCUAGUUUUAAAAUUUUAAUUUUUAAGCCCAAAUUAUUAAAUUGGGCCUUGGGUUUAAAGGCCCAGCCUAAGAUCACCAAAUAAGAACUUAUUAAAGUGUAACUGGACCUCCAUGGAAAAUUAUAUAAAAUACUAAAAUUUUUGAAUUUAUUUUUUUGAAUUUUGUAUUUAUUUAAAUUUAGGAAAGGUGAAAAAAGUAAUUCACCUUUGAAAAGACAUUUUAUGACAAGAAACAUGAAAAUAAUUCCCACUCAACAUGUCCGUUCAAAGGUCAUGUGAAGUUUAGGAUUGGAUUACAUGAUUAAUUAAGAUUGUUCCAUUAGUGGUUAAUUAAGAUUGUUCCAUUAGUUGGAGGGAAAAAAUACAUUAAAAAAAAAAAAAAAAAACUUCUUCUCCUUAGUGGGAUUCAACUCUUCCUUCAGCUAAACAUUAAUCUCAAAAUUUUGUUUAGAAAAUAUUUUACAUAAAAAAAUAAAAAAUAAAGAAAACAUUUUACAUAAAAAAAAAAAAAAUUGUUUAAAAAAAAUUUGUAUCUCAACUGUUGAAAUUAGAUGGUAAAACAUCUCAACCGUUGGUUUGCUAAACCUAAGACAUAUAGCGGCGUGUUCAGUUCCACCACAUGUUCCCGUGCAGAGCCGCCAUCCGCAUGCUAUACAACUCCCAAUUCCCCGUCUCUCUCUCAAGGAUCUGAAGGCGCAACACUUACAAGAUCUGUAAGUUUUGAUUUCAUUAUGAAAAAUGAAAAUCUCUUCUGUAAAUUUUCUUUUUUGCUCUUGUCAGAGACAAAGAUCGGAUUUCGUGAUCUAUUCUCAUCGGAUUUCUUUUAUAUUGGUGUGAAACUAAUGGACUUAAAUAUCAUUUUUUUUUCUUUUCAAAUAUGCCUGCAGCAAUGCCGGUGAUUAUUGUAUUUUCUUUUUCUAUUUUUCACUAGAAAUACCGGAAAAUAAUUGGACCGCAAGUACUUUUCCAAAUAUCAAGUUGCCUUAAACCAAUAUCAAAAUUGCUCAUCUUUUUCUCUCUUGUUUGUUUUUUAUAUCUCUAAUCUGUCCAUCUUCUCCUCUUGCUAUCUCUUGGAUCUGCAGACUAAUUUUUUUAAUUAUACAAAAAAAAAAACUGUAUAAUCAAUUUCCAUGGAGAAAACCGUUGGACCCACCUCAAUGUGUUGUGUUGAAAACGCAAGUGAGAAGGUCGAUAAAGGAGGGUUGUGUUUGGAGGAUCGCAUUAGUGAACUUCCUGAUGUUGUACUUGUUUCAAUCUUGUCAGUAUUGACCAUGAAAGAAUCUGCAAGAACUAGUCUCCUAUCAAAUAGAUGGAGGUACACACUUUACUCGUUUGACCUUUGAUCCCUCCUCACAUUUAAUCGAAGGAAUCUAUGAGCGACAAAAGGAAGUUGAAGUAGAAAGGCCAUUGUAUUUGAGUUGGGUUACUCAAGUCUUGAAAUCCCACAACGCUCCAACUAUAGAUGAAUUCAGAGUUCGAUUUGAUUUGGGGGAAAGUUCUAGACUUGAUAUUGACAAUUGGGUUAACUUUGCAAUGGAGAAGAGAGUUAAAAGGCUUGAGUUAGACUUGGCAGAAUUAACCGACUAUAGUAGAGAGGAAGAGGAUUACAAUUUUCCUGACCCGGAUGGUAUUGCAAAUCACUUGCAUUCAUUGUCUCUUGGGUUUACUAGCUGCAACUCCCUGACCAAUCUCCUCUUGACACACGUCAAUGUAACUGGACAGGAUCUCGAGUACUUCAUAACUAACUUUCCAAAUCUGGAACAAUUGUAUGUGAAAGAAUCUGACGCUCUCGUAAAUCUGAAAGUUCCUGAUCUAGCACUCAAAUUGAAGCGUUUGGAGAUAACUUUCUGCUUCAAUGUGGAAAGUAUUGAGAUUUCUGCAACGAAUCUUGUGUCAUUUAAGUACUUCGGACCAAAAAUACGCUUGCCAUUUAAAAAUGUCGAGUCUCCUGUGGAUUUGUAUAUCGGGGGUGAAUAUUGCACUUAUCUAAUAUAUAAGUUUUUGGAUAUUUCAAGCUAUCUUUCUCAGCUAGAGAGCCUUGCACUGGAGAUUAUCUGUAUGUGGGAGAUUGAUCUUCAAGAUACUAAAUUUUUGUAUUUAAUAAACUCAAGCGACUGGAGGUGAUAAUUAAUGCAAGCGAUGAUGAAAGCCUUAUGGAUUUUACUCUCCUGAUAGAGGCAUGCCCUUUCUUGUCUAAAUUUGUGUUGGAGCUGCAUUGGUUCAAGCCACUUCGGAAAAGAAAACAUCAGAAGUUUACGUCUCGGCCCCAUCAUUACCUUAAGGUGGUGGAACUAAUUGGUUUUGUUGGGCGUACAAAUGAUGUUGAGCUUGCCAUGUAUUUAAUUAAGAGUGCUGUGAAUCUUGAGAAGAUUACUUUUGAUCCUCUCAAUCGAUUUCUUAUAGGAACUCCAUUGGAGUUCAUGAAGCAAAAGAGGAAAACAAUAGCGAGAAAGCGUGCCAAGAAGCUUGGAAUCAAACUUCCUGUUGGAGCAGAUUUGAUAAUCCUUUAAUUAUACGAUUGUAUAAGCUAUUUCUUCUGCAUGUAAAUUUAUUUGGUAUGAUCCUGGAAGAGGUAAGUAUAGAGAUUUUUUAUUUAUUUUAUUUUUACUUCAAUAUCACAAUUUUAUUAAUUUACUUUUUCA